This 464-nucleotide ribosomal RNA is filed under the name Vreelandella stevensii. Its description in RNAcentral is "partial 16S ribosomal RNA". It matches the Rfam family "Bacterial small subunit ribosomal RNA", at positions 338 to 794 of the family's 1533-position model. Lineage: Bacteria; Pseudomonadati; Pseudomonadota; Gammaproteobacteria; Oceanospirillales; Halomonadaceae. The record is from RNAcentral.
CCUACGGGGCGCAGCAGUGGGGAAUAUUGGACAAUGGGCGAAAGCCUGAUCCAGCCAUGCCGCGUGUGUGAAGAAGGCCUUCGGGUUGUAAAGCACUUUCAGUGGGGAAGAAAGCCUUGGGGCUAAUACCCUCGAGGAAGGACAUCACCCACAGAAGAAGCACCGGCUAACUCCGUGCCAGCAGCCGCGGUAAUACGGAGGGUGCGAGCGUUAAUCGGAAUUACUGGGCGUAAAGCGCGCGUAGGCGGUCUGAUAAGCCGGUUGUGAAAGCCCCGGGCUCAACCUGGGAACGGCAUCCGGAACUGUCAGGCUAGAGUGCAGGAGAGGAAGGUAGAAUUCCCGGUGUAGCGGUGAAAUGCGUAGAGAUCGGGAGGAAUACCAGUGGCGAAGGCGGCCUUCUGGACUGACACUGACGCUGAGGUGCGAAAGCGUGGGUAGCAAACAGGAUUAGAUACCCCUGUAUC